This 318-nucleotide small RNA is filed under the name Histoplasma ohiense. Its description in RNAcentral is "hypothetical lncRNA". The record is from RNAcentral. Lineage: Eukaryota; Fungi; Ascomycota; Eurotiomycetes; Onygenales; Ajellomycetaceae.
AUGCCUCCGCGGCCCAUAAAUGGAAACAUAAUUCGAAUAAGGGAACCCAAUGUGAUAUUGAGCAAGGUUCAUCUCCAAUCCAAACAUACAGAGUACAUUUUUUGAUGUCGUUACCACUCCAGAUACAGAACUACGGAGUAAAUCAUGCGCAGCCAGUGAUCCCCAAUUCGAACAUGUUGAAUCUUUCCCACACAUGUUUUUUUUUUCAUUAUUCGCCCUCUCCAAUCGCCUAGGUGAAGAAGCUCGUUGGCACGGUUCAUGCUUGUCCACUGGGAGUGAAGGACGUGCUCAACAAAACUCAAUUUUCAAGUGCAUUCA